GUGUUCACUUCAGCAUCACAUAUGCUAAAAUUGGAACCAUACGGAAAAGAUUAUCAUGGCCCCUGUGCAAGGGUGACACAAAUUCAUGAAGUGUGCCAUAUUUUU
Molecule: small nuclear RNA, 105 nt
Filed under: Castor canadensis (American beaver)
Lineage: Eukaryota; Metazoa; Chordata; Mammalia; Rodentia; Castoridae
Source: RNAcentral